Molecule: ribosomal RNA, 497 nt
Filed under: uncultured bacterium
Lineage: Bacteria
Description: partial 16S ribosomal RNA
Rfam family: Bacterial small subunit ribosomal RNA
Source: RNAcentral
GAUGAACGCUGGCGGCGUGCCUAAUACAUGCAAGUCGAGCGACCGGACGAUAAGCUUGCUCUUCUGCUGUUAGCGGCGGACGGGCGGGUAACACGUGGAUAACCUACCUCUAAGACUGGGAUAACUACGGGAAACCGGAGCCACUACCGGCUAAUAUUUUGAACCGCAUGGUUCAGAAGUGAAAGACGCUCUUGCUGUCACUUAUAGAUGGAUCCGCGCUGCAUUAGCUAGUUGGUAAGGUAACGGCUUACCAAGGCAACGAUGCAUAGCCGACCUGAGAGGAUGAUCGGCCACACUGGAACUGAGACACGGUCCAGACUCCUACGGGAGGCAGCAGUGGGGAAUCUUCCGCAAUGGGCGAAAGCCUGACGCAGCAACACCGCGUGAGUGAUGAAGGUCUUCGGAUUGUAAAACCCUGUUGUUAGGAAAGAAAAUAUGCGUAAGAAACUCUGGCCGUCUUGACGGUACCUAAUGAAAAAGCCACGGCUAACUUCGUG